GACGGACAGUUCGUGGUUCUGUUAUGCUGUUUUUGUGAGCUGUUCUAGGUUGUUUUACGUGUGUGUUGUUAUUCUUUGGUUAGCAUGUCGAAAUGUACUAUUGUAUUGUUUAUUUGUGUACUUCUAUGUCCCAAAUGCUCUUCUGUUUGUACUGUAUUCCUGUCAUGCAAUGUUGUCACUUCAGUGGUAUAUUUAUCAUUGACAUAAAGCGCGAGGUUUGGCUAGCCACAAAACCAGGUUCAACCAACAAGUUGUUCUUAAAAUGUCCUGUACUAAGUCAGGAAAAUGGAAGUUGUCCUAUAGUUCGCAUCGGUGUGUGUUACAUUGUCUUUUGUUUUUUGUUGAAUCGUAUUGUAGUAAGAGGCUCCAACAUGAC
RNAcentral lists this long non-coding RNA (376 nucleotides) under Mytilus galloprovincialis (Mediterranean mussel). The record is from RNAcentral. Lineage: Eukaryota; Metazoa; Mollusca; Bivalvia; Mytilida; Mytilidae.